AACUUUUACAAUGCGGGAAACCGUGAUAAGGGGACACCGAGUGCCAGCAACAUUUGUUGGCUGUCCAGGUGUGUAAACUACACCUGUUAGCAAGGCCGGCAAGACCGGUGCCAGCCGCCGCGGUAACACCGGCGGCCCGAGUGGUGAUCGUGAUUAUUGGGUCUAAAGGGUCCGUAGCCGGUUUGGUCAGUCCUCCGGGAAAUCUGACGGCUUAACCGUUAGGCUUUCGGGGGAUACUGCCAGGCUUGGAACCGGGAGAGGUAAGAGGUACUACAGGGGUAGGAGUGAAAUCUUGUAAUCCCUGUGGGACCACCUGUGGCGAAGGCGUCUUACCAGAACGGGUUCGACGGUGAGGGACGAAAGCUGGGGGCACGAACCGGAUUAGAUACCCGGGUAG
RNAcentral lists this ribosomal RNA (397 nucleotides) under uncultured archaeon. RNAcentral describes it as "bacterial SSU rRNA". It matches the Rfam family "Archaeal small subunit ribosomal RNA", at positions 345 to 744 of the family's 1478-position model. The record is from RNAcentral.